Molecule: ribosomal RNA, 501 nt
Filed under: uncultured bacterium
Lineage: Bacteria
Description: partial 16S ribosomal RNA
Rfam family: Bacterial small subunit ribosomal RNA
Source: RNAcentral
AUUGAACGCUGGCGGCAGGCUUAACACAUGCAAGUCGAGCGGAGAUGAGGUGCUUGCACCUUAUCUUAGCGGCGGACGGGUGAGUAAUGCUUAGGAAUCUGCCUAUUAGUGGGGGACAACAUUCCGAAAGGAAUGCUAAUACCGCAUACGUCCUACGGGAGAAAGCAGGGGAUCUUCGGACCUUGCGCUAAUAGAUGAGCCUAAGUCGGAUUAGCUAGUUGGUGGGGUAAAGGCCUACCAAGGCGACGAUCUGUAGCGGGGCUGAGAGGAUGAUCCGCCACACUGGGACUGAGACACGGCCCAGACUCCUACGGGAGGCAGCAGUGGGGAAUAUUGGACAAUGGGGGGAACCCUGAUCCAGCCAUGCCGCGUGUGUGAAGAAGGCCUUAUGGUUGUAAAGCACUUUAAGCGAGGAGGAGGCUACUGAGACUAAUACUCUUGGAUAGUGGACGUUACUCGCAGAAUAAGCACCGGCUAACUCUGUGCCAGCAGCCGCGGUAA